This 2013-nucleotide long non-coding RNA is filed under the name Medicago truncatula (barrel medic). RNAcentral's name for it is "lncRNA gene32749". Lineage: Eukaryota; Viridiplantae; Streptophyta; Magnoliopsida; Fabales; Fabaceae. The record is from RNAcentral.
CUUGUCUAAACUUUUUCCUCAUUGAACAAUUUGUCAAAAGUCUAACACAUGGAAAAAUAAAAUUUUACAUGUUCAAUAAAACUGUAACCCUAUCUUCCGAUGAUAAGAAAUAUGGAAAAAGAAAAUCUGAAAUACAUAACUAAGAUUAAGUUCUUCUGCCUCCUUCUGCUUCACAACAUGAAUUCCCGAGUCUAGUUUCCCCCAUCCUGCAGAAAUAACCAUAUGUUAUGUACAUCAUUCAUUUUACACACUAUGCUCAAGACACGGAAUUUUGAAUCCUAUAAGACAUAUGAGGCCAUUCUGCUCGGCGCUCAAUCACAGCAACCAAGUAAUUUAAACGUCAACUAAAUGUAAAUAACAAUCAAAAGAACUGUGCAUAAACAAAACAGUUGACAUCUAUAACAGGCAAAAUAAAGAUAAAAAUCAUUAUAUCGAGAAUAAAAAUUAGUUCCAAAAACAUCCUUUGACAUAUGUUGCUACAGCCUAAUGUAAAUACUAAAUUCUCACAUUGCUUUACAUAAAUAGUUUCGCAGGCUCAUGAGGGAAUAGGUAGUAAACAACCAGAGAGGUUAUUAAGAAAACAAUUCUACACAUUCUCUAGUUUAUGCUAUGAAGAACUGACACAGACACAACACAUCACUGACACUGGUAAUAAUUGGAAAUAUGGUAUAAUUAAAUGUAAUCAGAAGUUGCUGCAUCUUGAUGUUUACAAUGCACGGAUGCAACAUUGGUAAUAAUUGGAAAAAAUGGUAUAAUUGAAUGUGAUCAGAAGUGUCGAUGAUGCAUAGUAUUUAUGUAUCAAUCAGUUGCUGCAUUUUGGAUGUUUACAAUACAUCAUGAUUGAUGAAUAACAUCAUGGCAAUUGGCGAUUGUCAAUUGAUGAAUCAUAAACCUUAUUGUCGCAGAUAUGUUUAUUUAUAAAUUAGAAGUUUAGAAAUAGUAGUAGAUUUAAAACAAAAUUCACUUCUAUCAUUGACUUACUGUCAGUUUGUGAUGCUAAAGAAAAUUCAACAUCAAAAGCAAUACCAUUUAGACGAACAUUAUAAAACCACAACCAAUGCAGAGAAAAUCACCAAUCAAUCAUAACUAAGAACAAACUAAAACAAUGCAUUGUAAACAUACAUGCAAGCUACUUUUUUCCAUUGUAAAUCAUACAAAAAAUUAUCACAAGUAAAUCCAUUAUGCAUGAAAAUCAUAAAUACAACCAAACAGAUCACCCACUUCAAAAAUCCCCUGAUUCAUAUUAAGAUCUCAAAUCAAAUUGUCGAUGUAGCACCGACACUUCCAAUGGAAGAUGUGUCUGGUGUCAAACACAUGUGAUCACAUUAAACUAAACCAUUUUUUUUUUCAAACUUUUAGCAGUUACCAUGCAUUGCAGCAAACAUGCAUGCUAUUUUUCCUUUGUAAAUCAUAACAAAAUCUCUCACAACUAAAACCCAUUAUGCAUAAAAACCAUAGUACACCCAAACAAAAUACCCACUUCAAAAAAAACCUUAAUUCAAUCAAAUUAUUUCAAAUUACCAACAUUUACAUCAGAAAUUCAUACAAACCAAAUUCCAUAAUCAAACAAAUUAAAAAAAAUCACAAAACAAAGAUAAAAAAAAAUCAUAAUUUCAAUACAAAAAACAAAGAAAUAGAUCAAAAAUUGAAGUUUUACCUAACCAGAUCCAACGAUGAUGUUGUUGAUUGGAAUAAAGAUAAGCUUAACGAAAAACCCAACAAAUCCCAUCACAACGAAACCAAUCGCGGUACGAACAGCAACCUUAGAGAAUUCUACAAAACAACAAAAUCACAAUAAAAAAUCAAGAUCCACAAUAUAGAGAUUUAAAUCAAGUAAAUCGAAUUGAGAAUUUAGGGUUAUACCUUUGCGAUCGGGUUUGUGGCAACGCUUAACGAGCCUAACGCUGUCUUUGGCGAAUUCUCUGAGUGGAUCGAAGACGGAAUCAAUGGCAUCCAUUUUCUCGCGAAUUGAGAAUUUGAAGUAUGAGAAAUUGAAUCGAGUAGAAUGAGAAG